UAGGGAAUCUUCGGCAAUGGGGGCAACCCUGACCGAGCAACGCCGCGUGAGUGAAGAAGGUUUUCGGAUUGUAAAGCUCUGUUGUAAGAGAAGAACGUGUGUGAGAGUGGAAAGUUCACACAGUGACGGUAACUUACCAGAAAGGGACGGCUAACUACGUGCCAG
This 165-nucleotide ribosomal RNA is filed under the name uncultured bacterium. RNAcentral's name for it is "partial 16S rRNA". It matches the Rfam family "Bacterial small subunit ribosomal RNA", at positions 355 to 511 of the family's 1533-position model. The record is from RNAcentral.